Molecule: unclassified non-coding RNA, 735 nt
Filed under: Bactrocera latifrons
Lineage: Eukaryota; Metazoa; Arthropoda; Insecta; Diptera; Tephritidae
Description: acyl-coenzyme A thioesterase 13-like, transcript variant X3
Source: RNAcentral
CCGGUAGAAGUCUAGUAAAGUUCAAGUAAAUAAAUACGAAUAUUGUAGAAAUGGGGACAGCUAAAAGAGGUGUCGAUUUUAUUAAAGCUAUAUCGAACAUAAUAUCUAAAUCAACUGGGUUCGAGAGCACUUUGAAAAAGGUUGAAAUAAUCGAUGGAGCUGACGGUAAAUGCACUGCGGAAUUCAAGGUAGCUCCUGAACAUCUCAAUCGUGGUGGAACUUUACAUGGCGGUUUCACAGCUACAAUUGUGGAUAUGGUCACCACGUACGCUUUAAUGUCAAAGCCUUGUAAUCCCGGUGUAUCAGUUGAUUUACAUGUCACUUACUUAAAAGCUGCUAAAGAAGGAGACACAAUACUGGUUUCUGCAAAUACAAUAAGAGCGGGCAAAAAACUAGCUUUUAUUGAAUGCGUUUUAACGCAGAAAAGUGAUGGAGCAAUUGUAGCCAAAGGAGGUCAAACGAAAUUUGUGGAAUCUCUGUAGUACUAAUACUUAACUAAAACGUUUGGAGUCGCUGGAUGGUUAAAUAAAAGUCACUAAUUUUUGUAAUACUUCAAGUUGUACAUUUCAUAAAUUUGUGGCCCUGAAAAAUUUGGACAUUGAUUACGUAAAUUUGUAACUUAUGCAUCAUUUCGUCACCGACGUGCCGCACUUCUGCAGUGAUAACGUUGUUGUUGUUGUACUCAGUAGUAAUUGUUGAGUUGCUGUUUCAAUGGAAAUGAUAACUCACCACCGC